AAUUGCACAAUGGGGGAAACCCUGAUGCAACGACGCCUCGUGCAGGAAGAAUUAUCUCGGUAUGUACACUUCUAUCAGCAGGGAAGAAAAUGACGGUACCUGACUAAGAAGCCACGGCUAACUACGUGCCAGCAGCCGCGGUAAUACGUAGGGGGCAAGCGUUAUCCGGAUUUAAUGGGUGUAAAGGGAGCGUAGACGGAAGAGCAAGUCUGAUGUGAAAGGCUGGGGCUUAACCCCAGGACUGCAUUGGAAACUGUUGUUCUAGAGUGCCGGAGAGGUAAGCGGAAUUCCUAGUGUAGCGGUGAAAUGCGUAGAUAUUAGGAGGAACACCAGUGGCGAAGGCGGCUUACUGGACGGUAACUGACGUUGAGGCUCGAAAGCGUGGGGAGCAAACA
Molecule: ribosomal RNA, 395 nt
Filed under: uncultured bacterium
Lineage: Bacteria
Description: bacterial SSU rRNA
Rfam family: Bacterial small subunit ribosomal RNA
Source: RNAcentral